Nomascus leucogenys (northern white-cheeked gibbon) is the source of this 403-nucleotide ribosomal RNA. It matches the Rfam family "Archaeal large subunit ribosomal RNA", at positions 2151 to 2715 of the family's 2987-position model. Lineage: Eukaryota; Metazoa; Chordata; Mammalia; Primates; Hylobatidae. The record is from Rfam.
AAUAGGAUGAGAAGACUCUAUGGAGCUUCAAUUUAUUAGGACAAAUGAACUUAGAAAAAAUAAAACUUACAAGUCUUAAUAUUUUAUCUAGUGAAAGAAAUAUUUUGAUUGGGGUGACAUUGGAUAAUAACACAAGCUCGAAAAUGACUUUAACUAAGACUGCACUAGUCAAAGAAACGUAUCAUACAUUGACAUAAAUAGUUUGACCAACUGAGCGUGUUACCCUAGGGAUAACAACACAGUCCUAUUCUAGAUUCCAUAUUGACUGUAGGGUUUACGAUCUCGAUGUUGGAUGAGGACAUCAUAAUGGUGUAACUGCUAUUAAUGGUUCAUUUGUUUUAUUAAAGUCCUACGUAAUCUGAGUUUAGUCCAGAGUAAUACAGCAGGUUGGUUUCUAUCUAUU